CAAGUCGAGCGAGAAAACCGGGGCAACUCGGUGAGUACAGCGGCGGAAGGGUGCGUAAUACAUGGUUAACGUACCCCCCAGUUCGGGAUAACCCUCCGAAAGGUGGGCUAAUACCGGGUAAUGGCAGCGGGUGGCAUCAUUUGCUGCUUAAAGUCGUAAGACGCUGGGGGAGCGGACCAUGGCUUAUCAGCUAGUUGGCGGGGUAACGGCCCACCAAGGCAAUGACGGGUAGCCGGACUGAGAGGUUGAACGGCCACACGGGAACUGAGACACGGUCCCGACAUCUACGGAUGGCAGCAGUAGGGAAUCUUGCGCAAUGGGCGAAAGCCUGACGCAGCGACACCGCGUGGGGGAUGAAGGCCUUCGGGUUGUAAACCCCUUUCAUGAGGGAAGAACACUGACCUAACCUCAGGAAGAAGCACCGGCUAACUCCGUGCCAGCAGCUGCGGUAAUACGGAGAGUACAAACGUUGUUCGGAUUCACUGGGCGUAAAGGGCACGUAGGCGGCUCGGCAAAUCGGUCGUGGAAUCCCGACGCUUAACGUUGGAACGGCGAUCGAAAAUACCGGGCUCGAGGGCGUGAGGGGUCACUGGAACUCCUGGUGAAGCGGUGAAAUGCGUAGAUAUCAGGAGGAACGCCGGAGGCGAAAGCGAGUGACUGGCGCGUUCCUGACGCUGAGGUGCGAUAGCUAGGGGAGCAAACAGGAUUAGAUACCCUGGUAGUCCUAGCCGUAAACGAUGAACACUGAGUGAAGGAGGGCUUGCCCUUCUUUGCUGCAGCUAACGCGUUAAGUGUCCCGCCUGGGGAGUACGGCCGCAAGGUUAAAACCCAAAGGAAUUGACGGGGGCUCGCACAAGCGGUGGAGCAUGUGGUUCAAUUCGAUGCAC
Molecule: ribosomal RNA, 887 nt
Filed under: uncultured Bacillota bacterium
Lineage: Bacteria; Bacillati; Bacillota
Description: bacterial SSU rRNA
Rfam family: Bacterial small subunit ribosomal RNA
Source: RNAcentral